CCACCGCGGUUAUACGAGAGGCCCAAGUUGACAAACAACGGCGUAAAGAGUGGUUAGGGGAUUUACUAAACUAGAGCCGAACGCUUUCAAAGCUGUUAUACGCACCCGAAAGUAUGAAACCCAAUUACGAAAGUAGCUCUACCUAUCCUGAACCCACGAAAGCUAAGGAACAAACUGGGAUUAGAUACCCCACUAUGCUUAGCCCUAAACAUCGAUUGCACCAUACACUCCAUAUCCGCCCGGGAAUUAUGAACGUCAGUUUAAAACCCAAAGGACUUGGCGGUGCUUAACAUCCACCUAGAGGAGCCUGUUCUAGAACCGAUAACCCCCGUUAAACCUCACCCUCUCUUGUUUUAUCCGCCUAUAUACCACCGUCGUCAGCUUACCCUGUGAAGGAUUUACAGUAAGCAAAAUUGGCACAGCCCAAAACGUCAGGUCGAGGUGUAGUGAAUGAGGGGGGAAGAAAUGGGCUACAUUUGCUAAACAUAGCAAACACGAAUGUUGCAUUGAAACAUGCAGCUGAAGGAGGAUUUAGCAGUAAGCAGGAAGUAGAGCGUCCCGCUGAAACUGGCCCUAAAGCGCGCACACACCGCCCGUCACCCUCCCCAAGCCCCCUGAACUAAUCUAAUUAAAAGCCAACAACCCGCGAAGGGGAGGAAAGUCGUAACAUGGUAAGUG
RNAcentral lists this ribosomal RNA (678 nucleotides) under Myzopsetta ferruginea (yellowtail flounder). Its description in RNAcentral is "partial 12S small subunit ribosomal RNA". It matches the Rfam family "Bacterial small subunit ribosomal RNA", at positions 512 to 1502 of the family's 1533-position model. The record is from RNAcentral. Lineage: Eukaryota; Metazoa; Chordata; Actinopteri; Pleuronectiformes; Pleuronectidae.